Molecule: ribosomal RNA, 397 nt
Filed under: uncultured bacterium
Lineage: Bacteria
Description: partial 16S ribosomal RNA
Rfam family: Bacterial small subunit ribosomal RNA
Source: RNAcentral
AUACGUAGGGGGCGAGCGUUGUCCGGAAUGAUUGGGCGUAAAGGGCGCGUAGGCGGCUUUGCAAGUCAGUAGUGGAAGUCCAUUUUUCAAGGAUGGAAGUGCUACAGAAACUGCGGAGCUUGAGUGCAGGAGAGGUUAUCGGAAUUCCCGGUGUAGCGGUGAAAUGCGUAGAGAUCGGGAGGAACACCAGUGGCGAAGGCGGGUAACUGGACUGCAACUGACGCUGAGGCGCGAAAGUGUGGGGAGCAAACAGGAUUAGAUACCCUGGUAGUCCACACUGUAAACGAUGAAUGCUAGGUGUAGGAGGUAUCGACCCCUUCUGUGCCGCAGUAAACACAGUAAGCAUUCCGCCUGGGGAGUACGGCCGCAAGGUUGAAACUCAAAUGAAUUGACGGGG